Molecule: ribosomal RNA, 443 nt
Filed under: uncultured bacterium
Lineage: Bacteria
Description: bacterial SSU rRNA
Rfam family: Bacterial small subunit ribosomal RNA
Source: RNAcentral
CCUACGGGGGGCUGCAGUGAGGAAUCUUGCGCAAUGGGGGCAACCCUGACGCAGCGACACAGUGUGGAGGAGGAAGGUCUUCGGAUUGUAAACUCCUUUUAUGAGGGAAGAAUAGAUGACGGUACCUCAUGAAUAAGCACCUGCUAACUACGUGCCAGAAGCAUCGGUGAUGCGUAGGGUGCAAACGUUAUCCGGAUUUAUUGGGCGUAUAGAGAAGCGUAGGUGUUCUUGUAAGUCUUUAGUUAAAUACCACGGCUCAACCGUGGAGAAGCUUUGGAAACUACAGGAAUUGAGACAGGAAUGGGCGAAUGGAAUUCCCAGUGGAGCGGUGAAAUGCGUUGAUAUUGGGAGGAACAUCAGUGGCGAAGGCGAUUCGCUGGUCCUUGUCUGACACUAAGGCUCGAAAGCGUGGGGAGCGAAACGGAUUAGAUACCCCAGUAGUC